CCUACUGCGGGGUUCCCUGUUCUCGGGCUCCUCCUGAUCCCAUCCCCUAGCUCUCCUUUUCCCGGGGAUCGACUGGAUCCCGGCCCCGCCCCCUGGGGCUGGGGCGAUCCCCCUCCCCCGCCGGGUGAGGCGCUGCGGGCGGGGGCUGGGCCUGCGGGGCCGCGGGGGCUCAGAGGCCGCCGCCCCCUCCCGAAGGCCGUUCGCCCCCCACUCGGAGCCCUGGAUGGAGGCACCACGGCCCCAGGGCUGAGCCAGUUCUUGGGCGUGCCCUACGCCACGCCGCCCCUGGGCGCCCGCCGCUUCCA
This 305-nucleotide small RNA is filed under the name Pongo abelii (Sumatran orangutan). Its description in RNAcentral is "processed transcript". Lineage: Eukaryota; Metazoa; Chordata; Mammalia; Primates; Hominidae. The record is from RNAcentral.